Molecule: long non-coding RNA, 847 nt
Organism: Rosa chinensis
Lineage: Eukaryota; Viridiplantae; Streptophyta; Magnoliopsida; Rosales; Rosaceae
Exons: 3
Source: RefSeq, a predicted model, not a curated record
AUGCCUUCCUAUGCUAGCAAGAAUGAAGAUUGGAAACCGAUGCAGUCUCUCUUUCUCUUUCGCCUUGUGAUUUCUAUUGGGACAUGAUGUACAUGUGUUUGAUUGAAGAGUUUUGUGAGCGUGGAGAAGCUAUGUAGUGUAGAUAAAUUUGGAGCUUCUGGGAAUUGAAGAAGGAAAAAGGAAGUACUAAAACAAAGUGAUUGAGGAACAUAAGUUGUGUUUUUGUUUGAUUAAGGUUGCCUUGAUGUUUGUAAUAUAUGUAAUACGGUGGAUCUCUUCCUUUAUUUUAGCUCUCUUUUUUCACUGACAAGUUAUUGUUGUGGCUUUAGAUGUUAUUAUCUAUUGAAUGAUUUGACACUGGAUGAGUUGAGGAGCGAAUGUUCAAGUUAUGACGAUUUGCAGGACUGCCUCUAUCUUCAAGACUAUCAACGAGAAUGAAGGACGCUGAAUGGUUCUUAGUUUUCAAUAAUAUUGACCUAUUGUGGAAGGAGCACUUACAAGCGCUCAAGUAACAUGGAUAGACUAAAGAUGAUUGCUUAUAAUACCAGAUGUCUUGGAUUCAUGAUGGCAAAAAUGGUGUUCCAAGAACUCAUGGACCCCUCAAAAUUCCCAAAGUUCUAGUCAUUUCUCACAAAGGUAUCAACCAAAUUUUCUAUUUAGUACGAGCACGCCUUUCAAUUAUAUGAUACCAGACCAAAGCCUUGAAACUUGGAGACAUCAUGCUAAAUAUGUCAAAAUAGCUAUCAUCUGUUAUAAGAUUAAUUAAAUGAUUAUGUAAAUAUUUUUGCAAUUAUCAAAGACUCUAUUUGCAUGAUCGGUAAAUGAUUAAAGACAGAUUUGUGUAUUC